GCCAAGGGAAAGAAGGUGGCUCCGGCCCCAGCUGUCGUGAAGAAGCAGGAGGCUAAGAAAGUGGUGAAUCCCCUGUUUGAGAAAAGGCCUAAGAAUUUUGGCAUUGGUGUUUGUGUGCAGAUGAUGUAAAAGAAUAUUUGCUAUCUGAGAGAUGGUGAUGACAUUUUAAACCACCAAGAUCGCUGAUGCACCAACACCCUUCCUAGUGGCCCCAGACAUGAACUUGACAUGGAAUUUGAGCCUCACUCGAUGUCACCCUUUACUUCUCAGGACAGGACAUCCAGCCCAAAAGAGACCUCACCCGCUUUGUGAAAUGGCCCCGCUAUAUCAGGUUGCAGCGGCAGAGAGCCAUCCUCUAUAAGCGGCUGAAAGUGCCUCCUGCGAUUAACCAGUUCACCCAGGCCCUGGACCGCCAAACAGCUACUCAGCUGCUUAAGCUGGCCCACAAGUACAGACCAGAGACAAAGCAAGAGAAGAAGCAGAGACUGUUGGCCCGGGCCGAGAAGAAAGCUGCUGGCAAAGGGGACGUCCCGACGAAGAGACCACCUGUCCUUCGAGCAGGAGUUAACACCGUCACCACCUUGGUGGAGAACAAGAAAGCUCAGCUGGUGGUGAUUGCACACGACGUGGAUCCCAUCGAGCUGGUUGUCUUCUUGCCUGCCCUGUGUCGUAAAAUGGGGGUCCCUUACUGCAUUAUCAAGGGGAAGGCAAGACUGGGACGUCUAGUCCACAGGAAGACCUGCACCACUGUCGCCUUCACACAGGUGAACUCGGAAGACAAAGGCACUUUGGCUAAGCUGGUGGAAGCUAUCAGGACCAAUUACAAUGACAGAUACGAUGAGAUCCGCCGUCACUGGGGUGGCAAUGUCCUGGGUCCUAAGUCUGUGGCUCGUAUCGCCAAGCUCGAAAAGGCAAAGGCUAAAGAACUUGCCACUAAACUGGGUUAAAUGUACACUGUUGAGUUUU
This 966-nucleotide small RNA is filed under the name Pan troglodytes (chimpanzee). RNAcentral describes it as "processed transcript". The stretch from base 116 to 190 matches the Rfam family "Small nucleolar RNA SNORD24". Lineage: Eukaryota; Metazoa; Chordata; Mammalia; Primates; Hominidae. The record is from RNAcentral.